UAACUUCGGGAAACCGGAGCUAAUACCGGAUAAUAUUUUGAACCGCAUGGUUCAAAAGUGAAAGACGGUCUUGCUGUCACUUAUAGAUGGAUCCGCGCUGCAUUAGCUAGUUGGUAAGGUAACGGCUUACCAAGGCAACGAUGCAUAGCCGACCUGAGAGGGUGAUCGGCCACACUGGAACUGAGACACGGUCCAGACUCCUACGGGAGGCAGCAGUAGGGAAUCUUCCGCAAUGGGCGAAAGCCUGACGGAGCAACGCCGCGUGAGUGAUGAAGGUCUUCGGAUCGUAAAACUCUGUUAUUAGGGAAGAACAUAUGUGUAAGUAACUGUGCACAUCUUGACGGUACCUAAUCAGAAAGCCACGGCUAACUACGUGCCAGCAGCCGCGGUAAUACGUAGGUGGCAAGCGUUAUCCGGAAUUAUUGGGCGUAAAGCGCGCGUAGGCGGUUUUUUAAGUCUGAUGUGAAAGCCCACGGCUCAACCGUGGAGGGUCAUUGGAAACUGGAAAACUUGAGUGCAGAAGAGGAAAGUGGAAUUCCAUGUGUAGCGGUGAAAUGCGCAGAGAUAUGGAGGAACACCAGUGGCGAAGGCGACUUUCUGGUCUGUAACUGACGCUGAUGUGCGAAAGCGUGGGGAUCAAACAGGAUU
Molecule: ribosomal RNA, 648 nt
Filed under: Staphylococcus aureus
Lineage: Bacteria; Bacillati; Bacillota; Bacilli; Caryophanales; Staphylococcaceae
Description: bacterial SSU rRNA
Rfam family: Bacterial small subunit ribosomal RNA
Source: RNAcentral